This 402-nucleotide ribosomal RNA is filed under the name uncultured prokaryote. RNAcentral describes it as "bacterial SSU rRNA". It matches the Rfam family "Bacterial small subunit ribosomal RNA", at positions 355 to 774 of the family's 1533-position model. The record is from RNAcentral.
UAGGGAAUAUUAGUAAUGGGCGAAAGUCUGAUCUAGCAACACCGCGUGUGCGAAGAAGGCCUUCGGGUUGUAAAGCACUUUUUGGAAGGAUUAGGAAGGAAUGUACUUCCAGAAUAAGUCUCGGCUAACUACGUGCCAGCAGCCGCGGUAACACGUAGGAGGCAAACGUUAUCCGGAUUUACUGGGCGUAAAGCGCGUGUAGGUGGUUCUGUAAGUAGGGCGUGAAAGCUCCUGGCUCAACUGGGAGAGGCCGUUCUAAACUGCAGAGCUAGAGGAUGGUAGAGGGAGGUGGAAUUUGGGGUGUAGCGGUGGAAUGCGCAGAUAUCCGGAGGAACACCAGUGGCGAAAGCGGCCUCCUGGACCAUUCCGGACACUCAGACGCGAAAGCUAGGGUAGCAAACG